Molecule: ribosomal RNA, 225 nt
Filed under: uncultured Lactobacillus sp.
Lineage: Bacteria; Bacillati; Bacillota; Bacilli; Lactobacillales; Lactobacillaceae
Description: partial 16S ribosomal RNA
Rfam family: Bacterial small subunit ribosomal RNA
Source: RNAcentral
UCGGGAUAACACCUAGGAAACAGAUGCUAAUACCGGAUAACAACAGAUGAUGCCUAUCAACUGUUUAAAAGAUGGUUCUGCUAUCACUCUUGGAUGGACCUGCGGUGCAUUAGCUAGUUGGUAGGGUAACGGCCUACCAAGGCGAUGAUGCAUAGCCGAGUUGAGAGACUGAUCGGCCACAUUGGGACUGAGACACGGCCCAAACUCCUACGGGAGGCAGCAGCU